CUUGAACUUCGGUUUGGGUGGCGGACGGGUGAGUAACGCGUAAAGAACUUGCCUCACAGAUAGGGACAACAUUUGGAAACGAAUGCUAAUACCUGAUAUUAUGAUUUUAGGGCAUCCUAGGAUUAUGAAAGCUAUAUGCGCUGUGAGAGAGCUUUGCGUCCCAUUAGCUAGUUGGAGAGGUAACGGCUCACCAAGGCGAUGAUGGGUAGCCGGCCUGAGAGGGUGAUCGGCCACAAGGGGACUGAGACACGGCCCUUACUCCUACGGGAGGCAGCAGUGGGGAAUAUUGGACAAUGGACCAAGAGUCUGAUCCAGCAAUUCUGUGUGCACGAUGAAGUUUUUCGGAAUGUAAAGUGCUUUCAGUUGGGAAGAAAAAAAUGACGGUACCAACAGAAGAAGUGACGGCUAAAUACGUGCCAGCAGCCGCGGUAAUACGUAUGUCACAAGCGUUAUCCGGAUUUAUUGGGCGUAAAGCGCGUCUAGGUGGUUAUGUAAGUCUGAUGUGAAAAUGCAGGGCUCAACUCUGUAUUGCGUUGGAAACUGUGUAACUAGAGUACUGGAGAGGUAAGCGGAACUACAAGUGUAGAGGUGAAAUUCGUAGAUAUUUGUAGGAAUGCCGAUGGGGAAGCCAGCUUACUGGA
Molecule: ribosomal RNA, 641 nt
Filed under: uncultured Fusobacteriota bacterium
Lineage: Bacteria; Fusobacteriati; Fusobacteriota
Description: bacterial SSU rRNA
Rfam family: Bacterial small subunit ribosomal RNA
Source: RNAcentral